RNAcentral lists this transfer RNA (72 nucleotides) under Endocronartium harknessii PhW48OC. Its description in RNAcentral is "tRNA-Glu (TTC) (tRNA-Glu-TTC-2-1)". It matches the Rfam family "tRNA". Rfam says of the family: Transfer RNA (tRNA) molecules are approximately 80 nucleotides in length. Their secondary structure includes four short double-helical elements and three loops (D, anti-codon, and T loops). Further hydrogen bonds mediate the characteristic L-shaped molecular structure. tRNAs have two regions of fundamental functional importance: the anti-codon, which is responsible for specific mRNA codon recognition, and the 3' end, to which the tRNAs corresponding amino acid is attached (by aminoacyl-tRNA synthetases). tRNAs cope with the degeneracy of the genetic code in two manners: having more than one tRNA (with a specific anti-codon) for a particular amino acid; and 'wobble' base-pairing, i.e. permitting non-standard base-pairing at the 3rd anti-codon position. The record is from RNAcentral. Lineage: Eukaryota; Fungi; Basidiomycota; Pucciniomycetes; Pucciniales; Coleosporiaceae.
UCCGAAUUGGUGUAUUGGCUAGCAUUUCCGCCUUUCAUGCGGGAGAGACGGGUUCGAUUCCCGUAUUCGGAA